UACGUAGGGAGCUAGCGUUGUUCGGAAUUACUGGGCGUAAAGCGCACGUAGGCGGCUUGGCAAGUCGGAUGUGAAAGCCCACGGCUCAACCGUGGAAGCGCAUCCGAAACGGCCUCGCUCGAGUCUCGGAGAGGAAGGUGGAAUGCUUGGUGUAGAGGUGAAAUUCGUAGAUAUCAAGCAGAACACCUGCGGCGAAGGCGGCCUUCUGGAUGAUGACUGACGCUGAGACGCGAAAGCGUGGGGAGCAAACAGG
Molecule: ribosomal RNA, 253 nt
Filed under: uncultured bacterium
Lineage: Bacteria
Description: partial 16S ribosomal RNA
Rfam family: Bacterial small subunit ribosomal RNA
Source: RNAcentral